AGGACCUGUUCUCACAUGAACUAAGCUACUCUACAUUCAAAUUAAAAGUACUGUCUGCUGUACUGGGUUCUUUACUUGUCCAACCCAUGGAAAUGAAGAAGCUGACAUAUGUUGCAGAAAUAUUCCAAGCGUUGUAAUUUUCCCAUCCUCAAAAUCUUAUAUUGCAGGAAACAGGCUUUUUUGUUGGAAUUUGCAAAUAAAACAACACCUGCCACAG
Empidonax traillii (willow flycatcher) is the source of this 217-nucleotide long non-coding RNA. RefSeq lists it as uncharacterized. The transcript is spliced from 2 exons. NCBI's taxonomy places the organism in Eukaryota, Metazoa, Chordata, Aves, Passeriformes, Tyrannidae. The record is from RefSeq and is a predicted model, not a curated record.